CCCUUAGAUGUUCUGGGCUGCACGCGCGCUACACUGAUGCGCUCAACGAGUUUAUGAACUUGCCCGGAAGGGUUGGUUAAUCUUUUUAAAACGCAUCGUGAUGGGGAUAGAUUAUUGCAAUUAUUAAUCUUCAACGAGGAAUUCCUAGUAAGCGCGAGUCAUCAGCUCGUGCUGAUUACGUCCCUGCCCUUUGUACACACCGCCCGUCGCUACUACUGAUUGGAUGUUUAAGCGAGGUUCUCGAACUGCUAGCGACUUAGCUUCGGUGAGGUCGCAGUGUGGGAAGUGAACCUAGCUUUGGUGUCUAGAGGAAGUAAAAGUCGUAACA
Molecule: ribosomal RNA, 328 nt
Filed under: uncultured eukaryote
Lineage: Eukaryota
Description: partial 18S ribosomal RNA
Rfam family: Eukaryotic small subunit ribosomal RNA
Source: RNAcentral